This 492-nucleotide ribosomal RNA is filed under the name uncultured bacterium. RNAcentral describes it as "bacterial SSU rRNA". It matches the Rfam family "Bacterial small subunit ribosomal RNA", at positions 28 to 507 of the family's 1533-position model. The record is from RNAcentral.
GAUGAACGCUAGCUACAGGCUUAACACAUGCAAGUCGAGGGGAAACGACAUCGAAAGCUUGCUUUUGGUGGGCGUCGACCGGCGCACGGGUGAGUAACGCGUAUCCAACCUGCCCACCACUUGGGGAUAACCUUGCGAAAGUAAGACUAAUACCCAAUGAUAUCCCACGAAGGCAUCCGAAUGGGAUUAAAGAUUUAUCGGUGAUGGAUGGGGAUGCGUCUGAUUAGCUUGUUGGCGGGGUAACGGCCCACCAAGGCAACGAUCAGUAGGGGUUCUGAGAGGAAAGCCCCCCACAUUGGAACUGAGACACGGUCCAAAACUCCUACGGGAGGCAGCAGUGAGGAAUAUUGGUCAAUGGGCGAGAGCCUGAACCAGCCAAGUAGCGUGCAGGAAGACGGCCCUAUGGGUUGUAAACUGCUUUUAUAGGGGAAUAAAGUGAGCCACGUGUGGUUUUUUGCAUGUACCCUAUGAAUAAGGACCGGCUAAUCCGUG